RNAcentral lists this ribosomal RNA (429 nucleotides) under Verrucomicrobiota bacterium. RNAcentral describes it as "Verrucomicrobia bacterium partial 16S ribosomal RNA". It matches the Rfam family "Bacterial small subunit ribosomal RNA", at positions 355 to 776 of the family's 1533-position model. The record is from RNAcentral. Lineage: Bacteria; Pseudomonadati; Verrucomicrobiota.
UAGGGAAUCUUCGGCAAUGGGGGGAACCCUGACCGAGCAACGCCGCGUGAGUGAAGAAGGUUUUCGGAUCGUAAAGCUCUGUUGUUAAGGAAGAACGAGUGUGAGAAUGGAAAGUUCAUGCUGUGACGGUACUUAACCAGAAAGGGACGGCUAACUACGUGCCAGCAGCCGCGGUAAUACGUAGGUCCCGAGCGUUGUCCGGAUUUAUUGGGCGUAAAGCGAGCGCAGGCGGUUAGAAAAGUCUGAAGUGAAAGGCAGUGGCUCAACCAUUGUAGGCUUUGGAAACUGUGUAACUUGAGUGCAGAAGGGGGGAGUGGAAUUCCAUGUGUAGCGGUGAAAUGCGUAGAUAUAUGGAGGAACACCGGUGGCGAAAGCGGCUCUCUGGGCUGUAACUGACGCGGAGGCUCGAAAGCGUGGGGAGCGAACAGG